Molecule: ribosomal RNA, 117 nt
Filed under: Nicotiana attenuata
Lineage: Eukaryota; Viridiplantae; Streptophyta; Magnoliopsida; Solanales; Solanaceae
Source: RNAcentral
GGAUGCGAUCAUACUAGCACUAGCGCACCAGAUCCCAUCAUUACUCCGAAGUAAAGCGUGCUUGGGCGAGAGUAGUACUAGGAUGGGUGACUGUUACAUCUCGCGUUUUCGUACAUU